CGGUAAGACGUAGGAUGCAAGCGUUAUCCGGAAUUAUUGGGCGUAAAGAGUUCGUAGGCGGUUAAUUAAGUUGGAUGUUAAAGCUUUGAGCUCAACUCAAACACGGUAACCGAAAACUGAUUAACUAGAGACAGGUAGAGGCAAGUGGAAUUCUGCAUGUAGGGGUAAUAUCCGUAGAUAUGCAGAGGAACACCAAAAGCGAAGGCAGCUUGCUGGACCUGUUCUGACGCUCAAGAACGAAAGCGUGGGUAGCGAACGGGAUUAGAUACCCCGGUAGUCCACGCCCUAAACUAUGAACACUAGGUGUUGGAGGUCUCGACCCCUCCAGUGCCGACGCUAACGCAUUAAGUGUUCCGCCUGGGUAGUACGAACGCAAGUUUAAAACUCAAAGGAAUAGACGGGGACCCACACAAGCGGUGGAGCAUCUGGUUUAAUUCGACAAUAAGCGAGGAACCUUACCUGGACUUGACAUCCCGGGAAGAUCGCCGAAAGGUGAUUGUGCCGUUAGGAACCCGGUGACAGGUGCUGCAUGGUUGUCGUCAGCUCGUGCCUUGAGGUGUUCGGUUAAGUCCGUGAACGAGCGCAACCCUUGUCUUAAGUUGUAUUUUUCUUAAGAGACUGCCGGUUCUAAAUCGGAGGAAGGUAAGGAUGACGUCAAAUCAGCAUGGCCCUUAUGUCCAGGGCGACACAGGUGCUACAAUGGCCGGUACAAUGGGCUGCCAAGGAGCAAUCUGGAGCUAAUCCCCAAAACCGGUCCAAGUUCGGAUUGAGGUCUGCAACUCGACCUCAUGAAGCUGGAAUCGCUAGUAACCGCAGAUCAGCCAUGCUGCGGUGAAUAUGUUCCUGGG
This 848-nucleotide ribosomal RNA is filed under the name uncultured bacterium. Its description in RNAcentral is "bacterial SSU rRNA". It matches the Rfam family "Bacterial small subunit ribosomal RNA", at positions 518 to 1378 of the family's 1533-position model. The record is from RNAcentral.